UAGAGUUCCUGCCCUAUAACGGGUAGAAACCCCCUCACCCUUUGUAUAUUGUAUGCUUGUUGCUUUGGUGGGCCGUUUACGGGCUCUUCCGUUACCGGCUUAGGCUGGGUUGCGCCCGCCAGAGGACCCUCAAACUCUUGUUUUUAGUGUAGUCUGAGUACUUUCGAAUAGUUA
RNAcentral lists this unclassified non-coding RNA (174 nucleotides) under uncultured Helotiales. RNAcentral's name for it is "sequence contains ITS1". The record is from RNAcentral. Lineage: Eukaryota; Fungi; Ascomycota; Leotiomycetes; Helotiales.